RNAcentral lists this transfer RNA (74 nucleotides) under Phaeovulum veldkampii DSM 11550. It matches the Rfam family "tRNA". Rfam says of the family: Transfer RNA (tRNA) molecules are approximately 80 nucleotides in length. Their secondary structure includes four short double-helical elements and three loops (D, anti-codon, and T loops). RNAcentral also lists the same sequence under 2 other names. The record is from Rfam by way of RNAcentral. Lineage: Bacteria; Pseudomonadati; Pseudomonadota; Alphaproteobacteria; Rhodobacterales; Paracoccaceae.
GCAGCUUUAGCUCAGUUGGUUAGAGCACCAGAUUGUGGAUCUGGGGGUCCCCCGUUCGAGCCGGGGAAGCUGUA